AGGCCAGGGAGCGUCUUCUCCAUCCCCGAGCCCGGGUCAAGGCCUUUGGGGAUAAAAAGCUUCAGUCUUGCUCAGCGGCUCCGGAGGCCGCGGGCAGCCCGGGCGGCGACGGCCCGCACUGGGCACUAGGGGUCGCCGCGGCCCAGCCGAACCCACCCGGGAGAGCCUCGCCGCAGCAGGUUUCCAGAAUCAAACCCGGGGCCGCAGCUGGGGCGCGGCGAGGAGACCCCGCCCGGAGCCGCCGGGGGCCCGAGUCCUCCGCCGGAUCCGGGAUUGCGCGCUGCGCCGGGCCCCGCCGCCGGAGGCCGGUUCCCCGGCACGCCCUCUCCCGCGCCGGAGGCCAAGAUUCGGACCUGCGCCGGCGGUUCGGCGGCGGCGGGCGACGGGGAAGAGGUAAUGGCCAAGCACCCCCCACGGAGUGUUUGGAAAGGAAAAACCCUGAAGACCCUGGCAGUAAAAAUUCCAAGAGGCUCACCAAGUACUGGACACUGGAGAAUCCUGGCAAAGAAGAGGAAAAAACCUAGCAGCAAGUCAUCCUACACCCGCCGAUACCCUCUUCCCCUUUGUCAGCCCUUUUCCUUGCUUUCAGGAUAAAUUAAAAUUCUUAUCUGCUCUGCAUCCAGCA
This is a long non-coding RNA of Choloepus didactylus (southern two-toed sloth), 625 nucleotides long. RefSeq lists it as uncharacterized. The record is from RefSeq and is a predicted model, not a curated record. NCBI's taxonomy places the organism in Eukaryota, Metazoa, Chordata, Mammalia, Pilosa, Megalonychidae. The transcript is spliced from 2 exons.